CAGUGCUUAUGCUCCAGAUGUGGCAUGAGAGAACAGCAGAGACUCUGAUUUUUCCCCAUUCCCUGGUGAGUGUGCUGAUUCUGAGUGCCAAGAAGAAAAAAAAGAAGACACUGCAUUUUUCUCAAGGGCCAAUGGAAGAACUUCCGACGAAAAAUGGAAGCCCUUAUUUUUUUGGAGACAGUCACUAUUUUUAAAUCCAGCAUGCUCCAGAAUGUCUGAAGAACCUCAGAGAGAAAUGAGAGUUUUGUGGAAACAACUGAAACAGAAAAGUUAAAACAAAAACAAAAAAGGAGAUGGGAGAAAAGACAUGGGUAACUGCGGGGGGAAGAGAAAGAGAGGAAUAACACUGGAUGCAGAAGAGAGCAGGAAGAAGGAACCAGACAGAGAAAGUCCCAGGACAUAUAAAAGUCAAUAGUCUGAGGCUACCUAGUUCCAUGUGCAGAUGUUUGUGUGUGCAUUAUUGGAUAGGAAAACCAGAGAGCCAAUAGUCCAAGAUGAUUCUGACAGCAGCUGCUGGGAUUGUCCAGAGGAAAUUGGGUCCAGAAAUUUGUUCAAGGGAAGUUCCAUCCUUUGCUUCUCUCUUCAGAUAUCCAGCCCAGCAUGCCACUACUGUGUGAUCUAAUGUCUGAUUCGAAUGGACAAGAUGUUUACAAAACUGGAGAAUAAUGGAGGAGAUUUUCAGACAUCCUCUAGACACAAUUGGGACGCUGCUCCCCAGCUGCAGUUCUAAGUGAAGAGUAUGUCACUUGAUGCUUCAAAUGCCUGCCUGGUUUGUCAGGUGAUUGAUAACAACCGGGCAAAGUUGGAAGACACAAGAUUAAAAGGGGAUAAAAAUAGUGCGAUUCAAGCUCCAUUAUUGAUGCAGUAAAGGCUUUUCUCUUUUGCCUGAAUAAUCGUUUUGGGCUAAGAAAGCUGUCAAGAUAGUGGUUGGGGAAGAAGCAAUGGAAGGAAGAAAGAGUUGGGGAAUGUUUAGAUUUGUAUGCUAAAUAGUCCAAAUUCUGCAAUAAUAAUUUUUACAUUGUGUAGUCAGGACAAAUGUAUUUUUACAGCUGUUACAAAUUUUACAGCUAUUACAAAUGUAUUGCUACAGCACAAAUGUAUUUUUACAGCUAUUAUUUCUGCUUCAGUGAUUUUUUUUAAAGAAAGAGAAUAACAGUAACAACAACAACAUCAGCCUAUGCCAGGUCCUUGGGAAGGAUUCGAUAGGUGGAUAAAAAUGCCAAAUCCAGUCUAAACAGAAACAAUCUAAACAGAUAGGAAGAGGUUAAUCUACAUACUGCUACCAAAAAAGGAUAUUUAACAGAACAUAUAAACUGUCGUAUAAUAUCCUUAAUUGCAUAUGGUAGAAAAUUAAUGCUUAGGAUCAUCCAAUUAGAGUUCUGCAUAGAAAGGGAGAUGCCAGAUGUUCAAGCUGGCUUUUAAAAAGGCUCAGGAAUAUGAGACAUUAUUGCCGAUGCACCCUGGAUAAUUGAGAAAGCCAAAGAAUACCAAAAAAAAAAAAAGUUAGUAUGUGCUUAAUUGAUUAUAGAAUUACCUUUGACUGUGUCGACCAUAUCAAGCUGUGGAAUGUACUUAGGAAAAUAGGAAUCCCAGAGCAUCUCAUUGUCCUCAUGUGAAACCUACAGACAGGUUGUGCCACAGUACAGGCAGAAUACGAGGAAACAAUCUGGCACUAGGUUGGCAAAGAAGUAAGACAAGACUGUGUACUCUUCUCUUAUUUAUUCAACCUAUAUGCAGAAUAUAUAUUGAGGGAAGCUGGAUAUGAAUAAGAUGAGCAUGAUUUUAAAAUGGAGGAAGACUUCAAGACUUCUUUGGAGAUGUUUAUAAUGCUGGGAAAGAUGGAAGGAAGGAGAGGAAGAGGACUUCCCACAGCAAGGUGGACAAUCAGUAUCAAUGGACUCAAUCAUGGUGGCAGUACACUGUUGGAAGACCUGAAGGACCAGGUUGGGGACAGAUCCUCCUGGAGAAAAUCUGUCUAUGUAGUCACUAAGAGAAGACAUCAAUUUGAUGGCAUAUAAUCAAGCAAUCAAAAUUAUACUUUUUUACUAGUUUCAAAUUUUCCUUCCUCAGGCCUUUUGGAAUAUUUGUACAUAACUCCUUUGGUUAAUUGAACUGUUUGAUGUUCAAAAUACAGUGGAUCUGCUAUAUUUCCUGUUACUAUUGCGUUGAUUUAAAAACUGUGACAUGUUAUUUCUGGAAAAAUGUGUUUGAUCUUCUUCCUCAUGCUAAAUGGAUGCUAUGGGAUAAUUCAGGUCUCAAAAUUGAUUUUAAAAAAGUUCUGUGGCUGGACAGAUUUUUGGAUCUUUACAUGAAAU
Python bivittatus (Burmese python) is the source of this 2315-nucleotide long non-coding RNA. RefSeq lists it as uncharacterized. The record is from RefSeq and is a predicted model, not a curated record. NCBI's taxonomy places the organism in Eukaryota, Metazoa, Chordata, Lepidosauria, Squamata, Pythonidae.